CAUCUGCUAGAUUUUUAUUAAAGUAACAAAAAAAGGUGUACAUUUGUCCAUAAACCUGUACAUUCUUCCAUAUAAAACACUAUUAUACAAUUAGUAACCUUUGUCUUUUCUAUCAGAAUAGCUUACAAACUACUAUUAUUUAUUUUUACUUAAUAGGAGAGACAGGCCUGCUCAACAGUCCAGCUCUGGGUGUUUUGUUGAUUUUAAAGUGAACAUCAAAAAGAAGAGAGAAAAGAUUAAGCAUGAGACUAUGAGGCUGCUUAUAAUCUGCAGUGAUUCACAGCUUUGUUUCAACCCACAGGCCAGAAAAUUAGCUCUUGGGUCUGUGGGCCCAAAGUUACCUUUAAAGCAAUAAAGACUGGAAACAGGGGCUGGGAUGGUAGCUGGGGAUCUGGAACGUUGAAGAGGCAGAACUGGCAGGAAUGGGUAGGGAAAGUGUUUGGUAAAUAGCACCUUUGAAUCAGAACUGAGUAGUUAAGAAAUCCAGGAAAGGGGACUGGCAGUGGGGAGGAAGUUUUCUCCACAAGGGGCAAUGGCAGGAGGGUAGCCAGGUUGACCAGAUGUUCUAGCUCCAUCCUUCUUGAGAUGGUCUUGGGUUUGCGAUACUCAAGGCCUUCUGAGGACCCCUCACUAAUACCACUGAAAACCUGAAGGAAGAGGAUUUCUUCCCAGUGUAGUUUUGCAUUUUUCUGCAACCCAAAACAGUAAAUAUUGCACAAGUCUACAGACAAAUUUGGAUUGUACUGAGAGACGGCAACAUCUCCCACAGGUGCUCUGAGCACGGGGAAGAAAAAAACAAUGCCCAAGGUUUGGCUUUUAGUGUCAGCCCUACAAAAAUACCAAGUAGUCCUGCAGAACUUGGGGCAUUCUCCCAUUCGGCCAAGGAAUACUGCAAGGCUGAGGAUCCAGCCAUAGUCCCAAGGACAGAGGGAGAGAUGGUUCCCUAAGCCUGCCAAGGCACCAGAAGGUUGUAAGAGCCAGUUCUCCUCCAGACCCUCCUGGGACCCAAGAGGCCAUAUUGCACAGUGACUGAGAACUUUUGUCCUAGAAAACAGGGUAACUGCAUGACCCAACCAGGAGGGGAGAGGAGCAGGGAGAGUUAGAGAGGAGUGUUGUGCUUUUAAAAAGAAGGCAGUAAUCAAGGAUGUGGAGUUCCCUGUAACUUUUGAGCCACCUCUCCAAGGGAUAAUGGUAGCAUCGCCAGGACUUUCACGUAGUUCCAAAAAAAAAAAAAAAAAAAAAUUACCACAUAUACACAUAGAGCAGCACAUAGCAAGGCAAAGAUUUCGUGCAGAGUACCCUUCUGUCCCAACUCCAAUAACCUGCAACCCCUGCCUCACUCCCCUGAACCCCCAAACAAAAAGCUUUAUAUUCUUGGUGGGUAGCAACAUCCAUAGGCCCCUGAGAAUAGAAUUAGAAAUAAGUCAUGAUUUUAAGAAAAACUGUUCAGGACAGAAGGAAUCAAGAGAGGCUUUUUCACUCUCUGCCUAGGAUCUCAUUAGAAAAAUAAAAGAGAAAGAUUAGGCAAUAUAGCAUAAUUUAAGUCCAGGUUUGAAUGCCCCUGAGUAAGAGAGGGGCUGGGGAUGCAGGUGUCCUGGUUAGAAGAGGGAGAGGUUAGAACUCAGCCUCUCUUCUCCAUCCAGGACAGAUCCUGACCUCUCUCAUUCACAGUUGCUAACCUUGCUUGCUCCUUCUCACAACUUCCUGGGGUGCUAGCCAAGCCUCUCCCCCAUCACCUUGACCAGACCCGCCCCCUGAACUUUCCCCCCUCCCAUAGGCAGACACUGGCUCCCAGACUCAAGCGCACAACGAUUCUCUCCAAAGGCACCUGGGGAGGCCACUUCCAAGCAGCUCCCUUUAAGGAUUUUUUUCUUAAAAAAAAUCUUUUGGUUUUUUUUUUUUCUCCUCUUUUCUUAAAAAAAAAAAUAAUAUAUAUAUAAAUAGCUCUUCAUUUAAAAUACAGUUCCCCAGGUUGAGGUAUGCAAUGGCCUGUUGUCACGGCAGGCAGAAUGAGUACAGUAGAGUGCCAGGUGGGGGCCACAGGGGAUCUAACUGGAGACCGCCAUGACGUAGUUCUUCGAGGGGCUGCUCCUGCCCAGCAUCAUUUGGUUCUUGCAGGUGAGGAGCCCAUAGGAGGUGGCCACCGGGGCCUCCUCGUACAGGAC
Molecule: long non-coding RNA, 2165 nt
Filed under: Sus scrofa (pig)
Lineage: Eukaryota; Metazoa; Chordata; Mammalia; Artiodactyla; Suidae
Description: lncRNA (ENSSSCG00060060194.1)
Source: RNAcentral